This is a long non-coding RNA of Cottoperca gobio, 1233 nucleotides long. Ensembl lists it as uncharacterized. NCBI's taxonomy places the organism in Eukaryota, Metazoa, Chordata, Actinopteri, Perciformes, Bovichtidae. The record is from Ensembl.
CUGUUGUAUACCACUUCCUCUAGUCUUAUCCAGGGGUUGGAGCAUAUGUGUGGGUAUUUUAGCAUUUUUCUGCAGAUGCAAGCAUCACCAAAACUACAUGAGCACAAGAUAUUUGACUGCAUGCUUUUAGGCAGUAGGAGUCAGAACAACAAUGAUGAUCUCAGUCCACUUCACGUUGCUCUUUUUUUUAGUGACACACGAUUUUGUGAGCUGUGUUAAAAUGACGAUACCCGGAGACCUGAUAGAUGUCUUGGCUGUAGCGUUGGGAGACUAUCUCACAUUAAACUGCACAUACAAUUGCUCCAGUGGAUUUGUCCGUGGCUGUUGGAGUAAAGCAUCAUACUCAGGCUGUCUUGGGAAUUACAGUAAAAGCAGUUUGUGCACAAUGUCCCUUCAUAUGUCAAAUGUGUCUACAAAAGAUGUCGAGAAGAUCUACACUUGCUACACACUAAACACAGAUGACCCGCAAGUUCGGAAAAACAUAGAACGCGUUGUUUCUCUGCAACUUCAAGUUACAGUUACAGUUACCCCAAAGACUGAAAAUGCAUCUCUUCCUGCUAAGCCAAACGACUCAAAUGGAGGAGAAUUGAUUGGAAUUAAGGUUUUAGCAACAGUUACCGUUGCUGUUGCCACGGUGCUUGCAGCCUUGGCAGUUUACUUGUGUCUGAACCGGAACAGACAGAACUGGACUGAUAAAGGGGAGCCUGUUGUGUCCAGGUCAGGUUCACCACUGCCUCCUCCCGCAGUCCCUUCACCAGUAAAAGGGUCACUGUCAACACAAAGUGAAAGAGUGACUUUGAGGAUUCCUACACCAGAUAAUGAGAGCGACACUGAGGUUCCAUAUGCUGACAUAAUGAUCACUGUCCGAGGUGUCAGUACGCCAGAGCUCACUCAGGUCAGCUACUUGACUCCUGGAGAUCAAAAAGAGUGGAGGGGUGAUGAAUCAAGGUCUCACCUGCAGGCCUCACGUUCAGCUGACAGACUGCAUGUCCCCCAGCCCAGAGAGGUCAGCCGUAAGAUGAGCACCAACUCUGAGUAUGCAGUCAUCACAUAUGCCUGAGGUCGCAACUGAUGGAAGAAUAAACACACGUCUUGUUUUUGAUGUACACGCUAAUAUGCAUUAUCUUUUGUUUUUUUAAGUAAUCCUACUUUAUAUGUACUUAUUAUAUUGUUUUUUUUUUACAUGUUCUGUUUAUAACUUGCAUUUAUAUCCAAUAAAGCCAUUCAAUUCAA